AUUAAAAUUUUGUUUAUUAUUUAAAUUUAUUUAUAAUUAAACUGGGUUACAAAAAUAUGAUUUACAAUUUUAAUAAACUAAACCUAAUAACGAAACCAAAAUUAAUAAACUAAACCUAAUAGCAAAAUUAAUCUAAACCUAUCCCGCCGCACCACCACCUUCUUCGUCCUGUUCUUCCAUGACCUCCGCCUCUGCAUCAGUUUUCGUCACGCCUCCGCCUCUGCAUCAGUUUUUGUCACGCCUCCGCUUCUGCCUCUGUUACUCGCGCCUCCGCCUCUGCCUCUGUUACUCGCGCCUCCGCCUCUGCCUCUGUUAGUCGUGCUUCCGCCUCAGCAUCCGCUGUCUCAUCCUUCACCUCUGGCGCACUUCCAUUCCGGUUUGUCACUAUUUGAGCUUGUCUCCAAUCCAGAUUUAUGACAAAGAUGCUUGUACGGUCGACAUCGAAGCUCCGUGUAAGAACAACGCCGACGACGACAGCUACAUCUGCCACCAAUCGUAACGCAGGAGGAGUAGAUCUGGUGACUGGGUCUCGAUCCUGACGCUAAUGGUUGGAAAGGGAGAGGUUUGGCUGGGUCUGAGGGUGGAGUUGGGUUAUCGGAUUCGUUUGAGAAUAUUGUUAAGUCUGAUGGUGAACCUGUAAAGGAAAAAGAAUGAAAGAGAUGACAAGAAAAAGAGAUGAGAUCUACGAGAGAGAUUUUAGGUCUUUAGAUCAAAAAUGAUCAAUGGUUAAAAAUUGUAAUCCUUGUCAUUGAAAAAGUGACCAAUGAGAAGAGAGAUAAGAAAACUAAAGGAUUGAUCUGUUAACCAAUGAGAAGAGAGAAUAAAAAAACUAAAGGAUUGAUUUGUGGCCUUUGAUUUAAUGUUAAUCAAUGGCUUGGUAUUCUUACAAGAAGUGUUUUUUUUUAAUUAAUAUUUAUUUUUUGUAAUUUUAAUUAUAUAUUUUGAGUAUUUUACAUAUAAAAUUAAGUUAUUCAUUUAUAUUAUAAAGCUAAUGAUAUAAAAUUACAAAAUGAUUAGAUUUCACUAUUAUAAGCAAUUUAAGUCAAAUAAAAUUAAGACUAACAAAUUCGGUUAAAACAAUUAAGAUUAACAAAAUGAAUAGAUUUCACUUUUAUAAGCAUUUUAAGAUUUGAAGUUAAAUCUAUUAUAUAAUAGGAGAGUUUCUCUCCCCCUGAUGCGACACGUCAGCAGUUUGUGGGUCCUACUUUUAAAAAAUGUGAAAUAGUGUCAAAUCUAUAGUUCAAACCCAGGUUAUUGAGAUAUAAACACCCACAAUUAUACCACUGCACUAAAGGUUAUUUUGUACAUUGAUGGCUGAAACUAAUAUAUAUUAUGAAGGUCGGAAACUAACAUAAUAUUGUGGACCCCACCUCUUUUUUUUUUUUUUUAAUUUGAUGGGUAACGAAUGGACUUUGACAAAAAGCGGGUUUUAGACUUAGUGAUUUUCUGUUUAUUAGGCUUUGUAUCUGCCCAAAGUGUUGAUACAGACAAAGCUAAUAAGAUUAGGGAAGCCACCAUCUUCACCAUCUCCUUCGUCGCUUGCGAUUCCCCUUCCGGCAAUCAGUUAUUAUGGUCGAUCUUUAAGGCUCUACGCACGUUUUGCGCCUACCAAACGCUUAGCUUCUCCUCUAACGCCUUCAGAGCUCUCAUAUAUAUAGAAUCCCUCGAGGUAAAAGCUCUAUCUUGUCUCAAACUUUUCUUUCUCAGUUUUCCGAUCGCUUUACUUUCUCACAUCCGUCGGGAAAAUGACUUAUCCAGCUGCUCCAGCCGCUUCAGCCGCCAUUGCCACCGUUCCCUACUCCACCUUCAACUAUCUCCGUCUUGGAAGGUCCACUCAGUCCAUUGUUGGUCGGCUCAUCCGAUUCUAAGAUUCCAGGAACAUUAACAAGAAUGGAGAGUUUAUGGGCAUCACCAUUCUCCUCCUUGAUGAACUGGUGAUGAUUGUUUCUAACUUAUUUUUUAUCACUUUAACUCUGCUUUACUUAUUCUUUGUUCAUAUGUGAAACAUGUGUUCAUGUUUUUGUUUUGGUUUUGUCUAUGGAUUUUUUUAUGAACAACUAAUGAUUUUUCUCUGUUUUUCUUACAGGAUUCUGGGAUCCACAGUUUCAUCCCUGCAAUCUCCAAACAAAACAGGAAAACUGAAUGAAUUAUGUUUUUAGUAACCGUAUCUAAAAGAAAUAAAAAACCAUCUUACUUAACAAAUUAAAACCUUUUCUUUUGCAGAUUCCGACGACGACGAAGCACCCGAGGACCAACGACAACGGAAUGAUGCGGACGAAGCCUAACUGAUGGGGCAGAUCUCCUUAGAAGGGGAGCCACUCGCCACGAUGCUUAUAGUUUCAUCAUUCUUGAAACUCUUAUGAACCACAAAGCCAAUAUAAGAGCUCUGUUUCAAUCCAACGGCUGGAUUUUAUCAUAGACCACAGCUAAGCCUGAAGAGGGAAGAGAAAUGGAGUGCUGCGUUUUGGAAGAUGGUUACUUGAAGUUUACAAGAUGAAGAUGGAACCCGUGACGAGGAAGACGAGGAGAAGUGUUACUUGGAAUAUCCUAACGUUGAGGAUGUAGACAAUGUGUGAUCUUAGCGAUGAAGAUUAGUGUAGCUUUAAUAUAAGCUACUACGGUCCUUGAGCUCCCUAACAAGUACUGCAAACAAUGUGUAUUUUGAAAAAAUAAAAUAAUUUUGUAAUGCAAGUAGUUUGAAA
Brassica napus (rape) is the source of this 2702-nucleotide long non-coding RNA. RefSeq lists it as uncharacterized. The transcript has 2 exons. NCBI's taxonomy places the organism in Eukaryota, Viridiplantae, Streptophyta, Magnoliopsida, Brassicales, Brassicaceae. The record is from RefSeq and is a predicted model, not a curated record.